This is a non-coding RNA of Trichobilharzia regenti, 45 nucleotides long. NCBI's taxonomy places the organism in Eukaryota, Metazoa, Platyhelminthes, Trematoda, Strigeidida, Schistosomatidae. The record is from Rfam.
AUUCAGCUGACGAGUCCCAGAUAGGGCGAAAUGCUCAUCCUGGAU